RNAcentral lists this ribosomal RNA (448 nucleotides) under uncultured Desulfosarcina sp. Its description in RNAcentral is "bacterial SSU rRNA". It matches the Rfam family "Bacterial small subunit ribosomal RNA", at positions 933 to 1382 of the family's 1533-position model. The record is from RNAcentral. Lineage: Bacteria; Pseudomonadati; Thermodesulfobacteriota; Desulfobacteria; Desulfobacterales; Desulfosarcinaceae.
UGGAGCAUGUGGUUAAUUCGAUGCAACGCGAAGAACCUUACCUGGGCUUGACAUCCCGGGAAUCCUUGGAAACAAGGGAGUGCCCUUCGGGGAACCUGGAGACAGGUGCUGCAUGGCUGUCGUCAGCUCGUGUCGUGAGAUGUAGGGUUAAGUCCCGCAACGAGCGCAACCCUUAUCUUUAGUUACCAUCAUUAAGUUGGGGACUCUAAAGAUACUGCCCCGGUUAACGGGAGGAAGGUGGGGAUGACGUCAAGUCCUCAUGGCCUUUAUGUCCAGGGCUACACACGUGCUACAAUGGGUUGUACAAAGGGUUGCGAACUCGCGAGAGUAAGCCAAUCCCAAAAAGCAACUCUUAGUUCGGAUUGGAGCCUGCAACUCGACUCCAUGAAGCUGGAAUCGCUAGUAAACGCAGGUCAGCUAUACUGCGUUGAAUACGUUCCCGGGGCUU